Molecule: ribosomal RNA, 468 nt
Filed under: uncultured bacterium
Lineage: Bacteria
Description: partial 16S ribosomal RNA
Rfam family: Bacterial small subunit ribosomal RNA
Source: RNAcentral
GACGAACGCUGGCGGCGUGCUUAACACAUGCAAGUCGAACGGAAAGGCCCUGCUUUUGUGGGGUGCUCGAGUGGCGAACGGGUGAGUAACACGUGAGUAACCUGCCCUUGACUUUGGGAUAACUUCAGGAAACUGGGGCUAAUACCGGAUAGGAGCUCCUGCUCCAUGUGGGGGGUUGGAAAGUUUCGGCGGUUGUGGAUGGACUCGCGGGUUAUCCGCUUGUUUGUGGGGUAGUGGCUUACCAAGGCUUUGACGGGUAGCCGGCCUGAGAGGGUGAACAGCCACCUUGGGACUGCGAUACGGCCCAGACGCCUACGGGAGGCAGCAGGGGGGAAUAUUGCACAAUGGGGGGAAGCCUGAUGCAGCAACGCUGCGUGCGUGAUGCUGGCUUUCGGGUUGUGAACCGCUGUGGCAGGUGACGAAGCGUGAGUGACGGUAAUGGGUAAAGAAGCACCGGCUAACUACGUG